RNAcentral lists this long non-coding RNA (400 nucleotides) under Elaeis guineensis (African oil palm). Its description in RNAcentral is "long non-coding RNA (EGUI_LNC034690)". The record is from RNAcentral. Lineage: Eukaryota; Viridiplantae; Streptophyta; Magnoliopsida; Arecales; Arecaceae.
GGUGCAAAGUGGGUGCCAUAUAUGGCGCCAAUCCUAUCUCAAGUGGGAGUCCUUCUUUGAUAAGUAGUGAACUGAUUCGAAGCAUGUUUGAAUUAGGAGUCCUAUAUUUAUUGGGUCAUAAAAAUUAUCUAUAAAUAGAGAGGAUCUCUACCUAUAGAUGCAUAGCAAUCAGAGUGAGAAAAGAGAGAAAGAGAGAGAGGUGUGAGAGCUAGUGGGCGCCCCUUUCUCCUUGGCGUGUCCUCCUCCUUGCCGCCCAUCCUCUCCAAACCGUGGACCCUCCUUGGGCGUCCCCCCUUACUGGUGUAAGGGAUCACACCAGCACCUCUUCUCCCUCCUUGGUGGCCUUGUGAAGGUGCAUUAAUCAAGAGAUUCAUCUUGCUUUCCUACGUUGCCUGACGUG